Molecule: transfer RNA, 71 nt
Filed under: Nanobdellota archaeon
Lineage: Archaea; Nanobdellati; Nanobdellota
Description: tRNA-Tyr
Rfam family: tRNA
About the family: Transfer RNA (tRNA) molecules are approximately 80 nucleotides in length.
Source: RNAcentral
CCCUCUAUAGCUCAAUGGCAGAGCGGCCGGCUGUAGCCCGACUUACCCCAGUUCGAUUCUGGGUGGAGGGA